Molecule: long non-coding RNA, 281 nt
Organism: Penaeus monodon (black tiger shrimp)
Lineage: Eukaryota; Metazoa; Arthropoda; Malacostraca; Decapoda; Penaeidae
Exons: 2
Source: RefSeq, a predicted model, not a curated record
CAUGGCCGCAUUGAGGAUCUUCUCGCUGUAUCCUCGCGCUCUGAAAAAACCUACCAUUUCCUUCAGUGCCUUCUCCAGGUGUUCAGGGGUGCUUACAAUCCUUUUAACCCUGAUUCCUUGUGAGAAAGGGAGGCUUUUCUUUAGAUUUGGGUGGUGGCUCGACUGGAAGUGUAAAUAUUGAUCCGGGUGGAACUGGUUGAGGUCUCUGUAGUAUUCUUGAAGUUCUUCCUCUGUGCCCUGGAACACUCCAAAUAUAUCAUCAAUAUAUCUAUAAAAUAAGA